RNAcentral lists this ribosomal RNA (510 nucleotides) under uncultured bacterium. RNAcentral's name for it is "bacterial SSU rRNA". It matches the Rfam family "Bacterial small subunit ribosomal RNA", at positions 34 to 518 of the family's 1533-position model. The record is from RNAcentral.
CGCUGGCGGCGUGCCUAAUACAUGCAAGUCGAACGGCUUUUCUAUGGAAGCUUGCUUCCACUGAGAAGAUAGUGGCGAACGGGUGAGUAACACGUGGGUAACCUGCCCAUAAGAGGGGGAUAACAUCCGGAAACGGGUGCUAAUACCGCAUAGUUUCUUGAUCGCAUGAUCGGGAAAGGAAAGACGGCCUUUGUGCUGUCGCUUAUGGAUGGACCCGCGGCGUAUUAGUUAGUUGGUGAGGUAACGGCUCACCAAGACGAUGAUACGUAGCCGACCUGAGAGGGUGAUCGGCCACAUUGGGACUGAGACACGGCCCAAACUCCUACGGGAGGCAGCAGUAGGGAAUCUUCCGCAAUGGACGAAAGUCUGACGGAGCAACGCCGCGUGAGUGAAGAAAGGUUUUCGGAUCGUAAAACUCUGUUGUCAGAGAAGAACAAGUUGGAGAGUAACUGCUCCAGCCUUGACGGUAUCUGACCAGAAAGCCACGGCUAACUACGUGCCAGCCGCUGC